UUUGUAGCUGAGAGUCUCCUCUUUCCAUAUUGGGGUCAAAUUAGUUUGUAUCUGAGUCUCCUUUCCAUAGUGGGGUCAUUUUUGUUUGUAGCUGAGAGUCUCCCCUUUCCAUAGUGGGGUCAUAUUAGUUUGUAGCUGAGAGUCUCCUCUUUCCAUAGUGGGGUCAUAUUAGUUUGUAUCUGAGAGUCUCCUAUUUCCAUAUUGGGGUCAUAUUAGUUUGUAGCUGAGAGUCUCCCCUUUCCAUAAUGGGGUCAUAUUAGUUUGUAGCUGAGGCUCCUCUUUCCAGAGUGGGGUCAUAUUAGUUUGUAGCUGAGUCUCCUCUUUCCAUAGUGGGGUCAUUUUAGUUUGUAGCGGAGAGUCUCCCCUUUCCAUAGUGGGGUCAUAUUAGUUUGUAGCUGAGUCCUGUAUCCAGAGUGGGGUCAUAUUAGUUUGUAGCUGAGAGUCUCCUCUUUCCAUAGUGGGGUCAUAUUAGUUUGUAGCUGAGAGGCUCCCCUUUCCAUAGUGGGGUCAUAUUAGUUUGUACCUGAGAGUCUUCCCUUUCCAUAGUGGGGCCAUAUUAGUUUGAAGCUGAGGCUCCUCUUUCCAUAGUGGGGUCAUAUUAGUUUGAAGCUGAGUCUCCUCUUUCCAGAGUGGGGUCAUAUUAGUUUGUAGCUGAGAGUCUCCUCUUUCCAUAGUGGGGUCAUAUUAGUUUGUAGCUGAGUCUCAUCUUUCC
RNAcentral lists this long non-coding RNA (712 nucleotides) under Oncorhynchus mykiss (rainbow trout). RNAcentral describes it as "lncRNA (ENSOMYG00000076856.1)". Lineage: Eukaryota; Metazoa; Chordata; Actinopteri; Salmoniformes; Salmonidae. The record is from RNAcentral.